CCUACGGGAGGCAGCAGUGGGGAAUAUUGCACAAUGGGCGAAAGCCUGAUGCAGCAACGCCGCGUGAAGGAAGAAGGGUUUCGGCUCGUAAACUUCUCUCAACAGGGACGAAAGAAAUGACGGUACCUGAAUAAGAAGCCCCGGCUAACUACGUGCCAGCAGCCGCGGUAAUACGUAGGGGGCAAGCGUUAUCCGGAAUUACUGGGUGUAAAGGGUGAGUAGGCGGCAUGGUAAGCCAGAUGUGAAAGCCCGGGGCUCAACCCCGGGACUGCAUUUGAAACUGUCAGGCUGGAGUGCAGGGGAGG
This 305-nucleotide ribosomal RNA is filed under the name uncultured bacterium. RNAcentral describes it as "bacterial SSU rRNA". It matches the Rfam family "Bacterial small subunit ribosomal RNA", at positions 338 to 657 of the family's 1533-position model. The record is from RNAcentral.